GGGUUGUGAGGUUAAGCGACUAAGCGUACACGGUGGAUGCCCUGGCAGUCAGAGGCGAUGAAGGACGUGCUAAUCUGCGAAAAGCGUCGGUAAGGUGAUAUGAACCGUUAUAACCGGCGAUGUCCGAAUGGGGAAACCCAGUGUGAUUCGUCACACUAUCGUUAACUGAAUACAUAGGUUAACGAGGCGAACCGGGGGAACUGAAACAUCUAAGUACCCCGAGGAAAAGAAAUCAACCGAGAUUCCCCCAGUAGCGGCGAGCGAACGGGGAGCAGCCCAGAGUCUGAAUCAGCUUGUGUGUUAGUGGAACGGUCUGGAAAGUCCGACGGUACAGGGUGAUAGUCCCGUACACCAAAAUGCACAGGUUGUGAACUCGAAGAGUAGGGCGGGACACGUGGUAUCCUGUCUGAAUAUGGGGGGACCAUCCUCCAAGGCUAAAUACUCCUGACUGACCGAUAGUGAACCAGUACCGUGAGGGAAAGGCGAAAAGAACCCCGGCGAGGGGAGUGAAAAAGAACCUGAAACCGUGUACGUACAAGCAGUGGGAGCACCUUCGGGUGUGACUGCGUACCUUUUGUAUAAUGGGUCAGCGACUUAUAUUCUGUAGCAAGGUUAACCGUAUAGGGGAGCCGCAGGGAAACCGAGUCUUAACUGGGCGUUAAGUUGCAGGGUAUAGACCCGAAACCCGGUGAUCUAGCCAUGGGCAGGUUGAAGGUUGGGUAACACUAACUGGAGGACCGAACCGACUAAUGUUGAAAAAUUAGCGGAUGACUUGUGGCUGGGGGUGAAAGGCCAAUCAAACCGGGAGAUAGCUGGUUCUCCCCGAAAGCUAUUUAGGUAGCGCCUCGUGAACUCAUCUUCGGGGGUAGAGCACUGUUUCGGCUAGGGGGUCAUCCCGACUUACCAACCCGAUGCAAACUACGAAUACCGAAGAAUGUUAUCACGGGAGACACACGGCGGGUGCUAACGUCCGUCGUGAAGAGGGAAACAACCCAGACCGCCAGCUAAGGUCCCAAAGUCAUGGUUAAGUGGGAAACGAUGUGGGAAGGCACAGACAGCCAGGAUGUUGGCUUAGAAGCAGCCAUCAUUUAAAGAAAGCGUAAUAGCUCACUGGUCGAGUCGGCCUGCGCGGAAGAUGUAACGGGGCUAAACCAUGCACCGAAGCUGCGGCAGCGACACUAUGUGUUGUUGGGUAGGGGAGCGUUCUGUAAGCCUGCGAAGGUGUGCUGUGAGGCAUGCUGGAGGUAUCAGAAGUGCGAAUGCUGACAUAAGUAACGAUAAAGCGGGUGAAAAGCCCGCUCGCCGGAAGACCAAGGGUUCCUGUCCAACGUUAAUCGGGGCAGGGUGAGUCGACCCCUAAGGCGAGGCCGAAAGGCGUAGUCGAUGGGAAACAGGUUAAUAUUCCUGUACUUGGUGUUACUGCGAAGGGGGGACGGAGAAGGCUAUGUUAGCCGGGCGACGGUUGUCCCGGUUUAAGCAUGUAGGCUGGUUGUCCAGGCAAAUCCGGAUAAUCAAGGCUGAGGUGUGAUGACGAGGCACUACGGUGCUGAAGUAACAAAUGCCCUGCUUCCAGGAAAAGCCUCUAAGCAUCAGGUAACAUCAAAUCGUACCCCAAACCGACACAGGUGGUCAGGUAGAGAAUACCAAGGCGCUUGAGAGAACUCGGGUGAAGGAACUAGGCAAAAUGGUGCCGUAACUUCGGGAGAAGGCACGCUGGUGUGUAGGUGAAGUCCCUGCGGAUGGAGCUGAGACCAGUCGAAGAUACCAGCUGGCUGCAACUGUUUAUUAAAAACACAGCACUGUGCAAACACGAAAGUGGACGUAUACGGUGUGACGCCUGCCCGGUGCCGGAAGGUUAAUUGAUGGGGUUAUCCGUAAGGAGAAGCUCUUGAUCGAAGCCCCGGUAAACGGCGGCCGUAACUAUAACGGUCCUAAGGUAGCGAAAUUCCUUGUCGGGUAAGUUCCGACCUGCACGAAUGGCGUAAUGAUGGCCAGGCUGUCUCCACCCGAGACUCAGUGAAAUUGAACUCGCUGUGAAGAUGCAGUGUACCCGCGGCAAGACGGAAAGACCCCGUGAACCUUUACUAUAGCUUGACACUGAACAUUGAGCCUUGAUGUGUAGGAUAGGUGGGAGGCUUUGAAGCGUGGACGCCAGUCUGCGUGGAGCCAACCUUGAAAUACCACCCUUUAAUGUUUGAUGUUCUAACGUUGGCCCCUUAUCGGGGUUGCGGACAGUGUCUGGUGGGUAGUUUGACUGGGGCGGUCUCCUCCCAAAGCGUAACGGAGGAGCACGAAGGUUAGCUAAUCCUGGUCGGACAUCAGGAGGUUAGUGCAAUGGCAUAAGCUAGCUUGACUGCGAGCGUGACGGCGCGAGCAGGUGCGAAAGCAGGUCAUAGUGAUCCGGUGGUUCUGAAUGGAAGGGCCAUCGCUCAACGGAUAAAAGGUACUCCGGGGAUAACAGGCUGAUACCGCCCAAGAGUUCAUAUCGACGGCGGUGUUUGGCACCUCGAUGUCGGCUCAUCACAUCCUGGGGCUGAAGUAGGUCCCAAGGGUAUGGCUGUUCGCCAUUUAAAGUGGUACGCGAGCUGGGUUUAGAACGUCGUGAGACAGUUCGGUCCCUAUCUGCCGUGGGCGCUGGAGAAUUGAGGGGGGCUGCUCCUAGUACGAGAGGACCGGAGUGGACGCAUCACUGGUGUUCGGGUUGUCAUGCCAAUGGCACUGCCCGGUAGCUAAAUGCGGAAGAGAUAAGUGCUGAAAGCAUCUAAGCACGAAACUUGCCCCGAGAUGAGUUCUCCCUGAGACUUUAAGUCUCCUGAAGGAACGUUAAAGACGAUGACGUUGAUAGGCCGGGUGUGUAAGCGCAGCGAUGCGUUGAGCUAACCGGUACUAAUGAACCGUGAGGCUUAACCUUACAACGCCGAAG
This 2923-nucleotide ribosomal RNA is filed under the name Klebsiella pneumoniae. RNAcentral describes it as "23S ribosomal RNA". It matches the Rfam family "Bacterial large subunit ribosomal RNA". The record is from RNAcentral. Lineage: Bacteria; Pseudomonadati; Pseudomonadota; Gammaproteobacteria; Enterobacterales; Enterobacteriaceae.